Molecule: ribosomal RNA, 515 nt
Filed under: uncultured bacterium
Lineage: Bacteria
Description: bacterial SSU rRNA
Rfam family: Bacterial small subunit ribosomal RNA
Source: RNAcentral
CACGGUAAACGAUGGAUGCCCGCUGUUGGCGAUACAGUGUCAGCGGCCAAGCGAAAGCGUUAAGCAUCCCACCUGGGGAGUACGCCGGCAACGGUGAAACUCAAAGGAAUUGACGGGGGCCCGCACAAGCGGAGGAACAUGUGGUUUAAUUCGAUGAUACGCGAGGAACCUUACCCGGGCUUGAACUGCAGGGGAACGAUAGAGAGAUCUUGAGGUCAGCAAUGACCCCUGUGGAGGUGCUGCAUGGUUGUCGUCAGCUCGUGCCGUGAGGUGUCGGCUUAAGUGCCAUAACGAGCGCAACCCUUGUCUGUAGUUGCCAUCAGGUGAUGCUGGGCACUCUGCGGAUACUGCCACCGUAAGGUGUGAGGAAGGUGGGGAUGACGUCAAAUCAGCACGGCCCUUACGUCCGGGGCUACACACGUGUUACAAUGGGGCAUACAGAAAGCCGGCGGCGCGCGAGCUCCGUCCAAUCCCUAAAGUGCCCCUCAGUUCGGACUGGGGUCUGCAACCCGACC